Mustela erminea (ermine) is the source of this 2579-nucleotide long non-coding RNA. RefSeq lists it as uncharacterized. The record is from RefSeq and is a predicted model, not a curated record. NCBI's taxonomy places the organism in Eukaryota, Metazoa, Chordata, Mammalia, Carnivora, Mustelidae. The transcript is spliced from 8 exons.
CACAGGUGCUGCCCCCGGCUGCUCUUCUCGUUCUGGGCCCACGUGACGGACUUUCCGUUGGAGCUGCGGAGAGAAGGGAGACCAGAGGUGUCUACUAACUUCUGGAACAUGGCACAGAAGAAAUGGGCCAGACUCUUUAUGGGAUUUCAUUGGGAGGAUUGUUGCCAACAAUCCCUUUUCUCUCCUACCAGCAGGAUAAGAAACAGGCUGACUUUCAGGAGCUUCCCUUCCACACCUUUGUACCACCGAUGGAUGGGGAAAUGCCACAAUAAAGUAGAAGUGGAGAGUUAGUUCAUGAAAACACUGGAAACCAUGGUCUCUUUUUGCUAUGGACAAUUGUCUGAUGUACUUAACAAUGCUACAGCCAUGUUAUAGGCACAAGAGAAGGGACGGGUUUGGAAAGUUUCUGGAUUGGUGCACACAUGGAGAUGCCAAGAGGGGGGCUCACCCUGAGAGGGUACAGAAGAUCCACAUAGCUGCCCUAUGCGUUUCUUCCAUCUGGCUCCUCCUGAGUUAUUUAUGUCCUACAAGAAACCUGUGAUCUGAAUUGGCCUUGGUCUGCAUGGACUUGCCAAAGAUUUUUCUCAAUCACCUUUCCUGUCACUAGACUAAGAAAGUAUCAAGAAAAAUGAAAUGAAGAAUACAAAGAUUUAUGGCCAUGUCGCCUUUAAGAUUAUCCUAAUUUUGGAUGCUGACAGUGAUAAAGUAAGGAGAAAACUGAUAUACAUGUGAAGAGCAUUUCCAAUAUUGGAGACAACUUUCCCUGUGCCAUGUGAUUCUCUCCACAAACAAAGACCUGUCAAAAUGGAGGGCUUAAGCUCUCUCCAUCCCUAGAAAGAGGGUGACUUGAAGGGGAGAAAGAGGAAAACCAAUGGGGGCAAGACCAUUGCUCUGCCUGUUAGCUCCAUGUCAGAGCCACAUCUGUAUCCUAUGCCCAUGAUGGUGUCUAGAACCUGGCAGGGUUUAAUGAAAGAAAUGUGCUGGUGGAAAGAACAAAUGAGAAAAAAAGAAAAAAAAAAAAAGAUUACUUCAGGGAAGAUGUAGAGAAAUCACAAGGAAGCAAAAGAUAAACAACACUACAACCAGGACCCAUGGUAUCGUGUUGUCUUUCAAGGCCUUUGCUGUCUGCUCUUAGAUAACUACGUCCUUUCCUGUGCCCCCGACAAAGACCUGAAGCACCUAUACGGUUCUCUGCUGACAUUAUCUGUUCACAUCUCUGGCUCCACUUUGAGGAGAGGCAUUGUCCAGGGAAAGGACAGUAUUAUAUUCAUCUUGAUUACCUCCAGUGCCUAAAAUACCAUCUAGCUCACAGAAGACAGCGUUACGAAUCAUAGGCUCUCAGCAAAUGCUACUUGUGUAUUACUACAGUCGGGAUGAUAAACAUGCACUGAGCAGAGAACCUUGCUUUCCUGUGACUGACUUCCGCCCAACUCGUUCCAGCCAACUUGUUUUUGCUGUCUGGUAUACAAUUUAGAGCCUCCAACCUCUACUGACUUCAGUUGAAUUUAUUAAUUUGGAUCCCAUUCUCCGUAAAAGCGUGCAUUGCCCCCUUGUGUCUCCUCUAGUGAAACACCCCACGACCCCGUUCCGGUAUUUGUCCCCCUUCCUGUGGGGCUCUGCUGCCCUCUAGGGGGCCUUGUUCAUCUCACACUUCUCGGGACCCGGUUAGAUCUGCAUUUGGCAGCACAGUCCUUGGGUGGGAAGGCCAUGCUCAGGGCGGGGCUGCCAGCUCCCAGGGCUCCCUUGCCUGCUCUUCUCAUCCCCAUCUUGUAAGUUUGUGGCUCUAUAGUGUAAUCAGUUUAGGGGUUUGGUACUUGAGCUUCGUUAAGCAAGGAGGAUGUCAAGAAGAGAAACUCAUCACAAGUGGAGGUUUGGAGAGCGCUGCCGUGGGGUCUCCGUUCGUUGGUACCAACAGGGUCCUCAGUUACGGGUAUCCCACUUGUGUCACGGUAUUUUACAUAUUGCAUCAACAUGUAUUCUAUGGAGUCCAGUAGCCGACUAAUGGAAGUGUUCGACCUGAUGAAUGAACAAUGAUUUCUGUCUUUGCCUCGGCCUCUGGGGACAAAGAACUCCCUCAAAGCAUCUGGGGAUUCCAUUGCUUUUUGUCAAAGCCCAAAGUAACAUCUGGUUGCCACAUCCAGUUAGGAUGACCCUUACCUCUACCUAGUUUGACUUUGCUGGAGCCGUUGACCACUUCUUCGUUUAUGAAUUGCUCUUUUUCCUUUCGUGUCACCACUUGCAUCUGGGGGUCAGGGGUACUUGGUCUGUUCUUCUGGAAUUCUUUGGUCUGCAGACUCCCUUUCCUUAUCUAAUUUCUGGUUUUGCCCUUGGUUCUCCCACAUUGUACUUCAAACACUAAACUCUCCUGAUUUUCAGGCCAGUUUUUCCAGCAGCUUCUUGGACUUGUUCACUUAGAUGUUCUCUUGGGAAUCUUGAAUUUAAUAAUUCCAAAACUAAACUCGUGUUUUCUUCACACUUUCUCUCCUUUAACUUGGGAUCAUCUCCGGUUCCAAAUUUCUUUUAGUUCAUCCUUUUUUUUUUUUUUUUUAAGAUUUUACAUAUUCACGAGAGACAGAGAG